This 468-nucleotide ribosomal RNA is filed under the name uncultured bacterium. RNAcentral's name for it is "partial 16S ribosomal RNA". It matches the Rfam family "Bacterial small subunit ribosomal RNA", at positions 28 to 507 of the family's 1533-position model. The record is from RNAcentral.
GACGAACGCUGGCGGCGUGCUUAACACAUGCGAGUCGAACGGAAAGGCCCUGCUUUUGUGGGGUGCUCGAGUGGCGAACGGGUGAGUAACACGUGAGUAACCUGCCCUUGACUUUGGGAUAACUUCAGGAAACUGGGGCUAAUACCGGAUAGGAGCUCCUGCUGCAUGGUGGGGGUUGGAAAGUUUCGGCGGUUGGGGAUGGACACGCGGCUUAUCAGCUUGUUGGUGGGGUAGUGGCUUACCAAGGCUUUGACGGGUAGCCGGCCUGAGAGGGUGACCGGCCACAUUGGGACUGAGAUACGGCCCAGACUCCUACGGGAGGCAGCAGUGGGGAAUAUUGCACAAUGGGCGGAAGCCUGAUGCAGCAACGCCGCGUGCGGGAUGACGGCCUUCGGGUUGUAAACCGCUUUCGCCUGUGACGAAGCGUGAGUGACGGUAAUGGGUAAAGAAGCACCGGCUAACUACGUG